CGUCUAUAUACGUAUAGCAUAUCAAUAAGCGGAGGAAAAGAAACUAACUAGGAUUCCCUCAGUAACGGCGAGUGAAGCGGGAAGAGCUCAAAUUUGAAAUCUUCAAGGUUCUACCUUGACGAAUUGUAGUUUAAAGAAGUGUUUUCUGUUGGAGUUUUGGUAAAAGUUCUUUGGAAUAGGACAUCAUAGAGGGUGAGAAUCCCGUAUUUGACCAUUAUUUCCAACUUUGUGAUACACUUUCAAAGAGUCGGAUUGUUUGGGAAUGCAGUCCAAAAUGGGUGGUAAAUUUCAUCUAAAGCUAAAUAUUGGCGAGAGACCGAUAGCGAACAAGUACCGUGAGGGAAAGAUGAAAAGAACUUUGAAAAGAGAGUUAAACAGUACGUGAAAUUGUCAAAAGGGAAGCGUUUGACACCAGUGUUGUUUUCUCGAAAAUCAAUUAAAAAUGGCAGGAUUUUGUGUUGUAUUGACUUUAUCAGCUUUCUGCACUUUUUUCCUGUCUUUUUUAAUGCACUUUUCGUUUAACAAGUCAACAUCAAUUUCUUUUGUUGUAAAAGGGUCAUUGGAAGGUGACUUUCUUUUCGGAGAAAGUGUUUAUAGCCUUUGACUUCUGCAAUCGGAGAGAUUGAGGUCUGCAGCGUAGAUCCUUCGGGGUUAGAUAGCAUUUGUGCUAAGUUAUAGUUUUUCAUAGACAACAUGUUGACUAUGAUUAAUCAUGUAGCUUACUCGCUUAUGCUAUUUUACCUACGCUUAGGAUGUUGACGAUCAGCUGAGCGCG
Molecule: ribosomal RNA, 775 nt
Filed under: uncultured Neocallimastigales
Lineage: Eukaryota; Fungi; Neocallimastigomycota; Neocallimastigomycetes; Neocallimastigales
Description: partial large subunit ribosomal RNA
Rfam family: Eukaryotic large subunit ribosomal RNA
Source: RNAcentral